RNAcentral lists this ribosomal RNA (199 nucleotides) under Beringraja binoculata (big skate). RNAcentral describes it as "partial 16S ribosomal RNA". Lineage: Eukaryota; Metazoa; Chordata; Chondrichthyes; Rajiformes; Rajidae. The record is from RNAcentral.
AUGGAGCUUCAAACACUUAAGUUACUAUCUUCUUUAUAAAUUAAUCUAAAGACUUAACCAUUCUAAUAGUAAUCUAACUUAAUGUUUUCGGUUGGGGCGACCAAGGAGUAAAAGAAAACCUCCUUACCGAUUGAGUAUUUUUACUUAAAAGUCAGAACGACAGUUCUGAUUAAUAGAAUGUCUAACGAAUAAUGACCCA